AUGUCAUGAUAAGGGCUCUUUCAUAAUAAAUCUUUGAAUCGCUCUCAUGCCUCAUAUAAAGAUUCUACAUCAAGUUGCUAAAAUGAAGUGAUUUCAUUUCGGAUCUU
Molecule: non-coding RNA, 107 nt
Organism: Gossypium raimondii (Peruvian cotton)
Lineage: Eukaryota; Viridiplantae; Streptophyta; Magnoliopsida; Malvales; Malvaceae
Source: Rfam